This 372-nucleotide ribosomal RNA is filed under the name uncultured organism. Its description in RNAcentral is "bacterial SSU rRNA". It matches the Rfam family "Bacterial small subunit ribosomal RNA", at positions 526 to 896 of the family's 1533-position model. The record is from RNAcentral.
CGUAGGGUGCGAGCGUUAAUCGGAAUUACUGGGCGUAAAGCGUGCGCAGGCGGUUUUGUAAGACAGGCGUGAAAUCCCCGGGCUCAACCUGGGAACUGCGCUUGUGACUGCAAGGCUAGAGUACGGCAGAGGGGGGUGGAAUUCCACGUGUAGCAGUGAAAUGCGUAGAGAUGUGGAGGAAUACCAAUGGCGAAGGCAGCCCCCUGGGUCGAUACUGACGCUCAUGCGCGAAAGCGUGGGUAGCAAACAGGAUUAGAUACCCUGGUAGUCCACGCCCUAAACGAUGUCAACUAGGUGUUGGGUGGGUAAAACCAUUUAGUACCGGAGCUAGCGCGUGAAGUUGACCGCCUGGGGAGUACGGCCGCAAGGUUA